GGGGAAUUGCAUAACCUUAAAAAGGAUUUGACUAAUCAUCUUUUUUGUAAUCCCUUCACAGUCCCAGGUUUAGUGAAAAACUGCUGUAACACAAAGGGGACACAGAUUAACGAUGCAACCUUUAAUUACUGUUUUCUUUUCUCUUAACCUACUAAUAGUUCAUUUGAGCUGCUAAGUAAGGGUGAGUGGGUCAAAAAUUGCUCCGAAUCGGGUUUAUGUCAUUCACUGCACUGCAUAGAAACAAUUAACUUGUAACAUAGUCAUUAUAAUGGGCAUUGAAAUAGGAAAGGCUGUGUGUGUAACACUAAAGCCUUGCAACUCUUCCAGGAGCCCGCUCCCUACUUAGUGAACUCCCUGUUUUAGAACACCAAAGAUAGGGAAUAGAUACUACUCUUUUUCUCUUGUAACCUUCUUGUAGACUUGUACUUGAUUUUUUAUUUUUUUUUUUUUUUUAAGACUUACUGUUAUUUCAGGAAAAAAAAUGAAAGCUGAUCUUUCACUUCAUUCAGCUGGUAAGCGGAAGAAAGAAAUCCACACGAAAAAGGACCGUAGGCUUGUGCCUGAGAAGAAGUGCACUUGCUGUUAGGGACCCCAGGGCUGGGUGCUCGGCAGAUGGACACAUCCUGUGACUCUCCCUUAAAGACAGGAUCCAGCACAAUGGCAACGUGUUUCUCUGAUCACAAGAGAGGAGUCAGACCUGUCAUACCUCAGACGUCGCCUGAAACCUGAAUGAAGGAAUGUAUCUCACCCUGGCAUCUCUGCAUACAUAGAUGAAGAACUUCUGCCACUCAAUUCAUCCUUUUUUUAUCUCUGACCAUCUUCCUGAUCACAUUAAUUGUCAAAUGUACAGAAGUCCUUUGUCAUAUAGCCUUC
This is a long non-coding RNA of Pezoporus flaviventris, 873 nucleotides long. RefSeq lists it as uncharacterized. NCBI's taxonomy places the organism in Eukaryota, Metazoa, Chordata, Aves, Psittaciformes, Psittacidae. The record is from RefSeq and is a predicted model, not a curated record. The transcript has 3 exons.